RNAcentral lists this ribosomal RNA (487 nucleotides) under uncultured bacterium. RNAcentral's name for it is "bacterial SSU rRNA". It matches the Rfam family "Bacterial small subunit ribosomal RNA", at positions 28 to 509 of the family's 1533-position model. The record is from RNAcentral.
GAUGAACGCUAGCGACAGGCCUAACACAUGCAAGUCGAGGGGCAGCACAAGGAGUAAUCUGAGGUGGCGACCGGCGCACGGGUGAGUAACACGUAUGCAACCUGCCUGUAAGCGGGGAAUAACCCGUUGAAAGACGGACUAAUACCGCAUAAUACUAAAUUACUGCAUGGUAAUUUAUUUAAACAUUUAUGGCUUACAGAUGGGCAUGCGCAUGAUUAGCUAGUUGGAGAGGUAACGGCUCCCCAAGGCAACGAUCAUUAGGGGUUCUGAGAGGAAGGUCCCCCACACUCGGUACUGAGACACGGACCAGACUCCUACGGGAGGCAGCAGUGAGGAAGUAUUGGUCAAUGGGCGAGAGCCUGAACCAGCCAAGUCGCGUGCAGGAAGAAUGUCCUAUGGAUUGUAAACUGCUUUUGCAGGGGAAUAAAUGAGCCCACGUGUGGUUUUUUGUAGUACCGUAUGAAUAAGGAUCGGCUAACUCCGUGCC